This 336-nucleotide long non-coding RNA is filed under the name Capsicum annuum. RNAcentral describes it as "long non-coding RNA (CANN_LNC015516)". The record is from RNAcentral. Lineage: Eukaryota; Viridiplantae; Streptophyta; Magnoliopsida; Solanales; Solanaceae.
UAAAUUCCUAGGAUUUCUGGCUUUUUUGGUCCAAAAGGUCUGCACAAUAGACAAAGGACGAUUGUUAGCUGCCAGAUAAAAAUUUUUCGGGGUGUGGUUAAAGAAGUACGAUGUUAAGAACAUAGAUUAAGAGGAAGAGAUGAACAGGGUUAAAAAAAUAAUAAAAAAAAAACUCUGGGGAACAUAAGAAUGAAAACAUGAAGAAACAGUAGGAAAGAGGGAGUACUGAGUAGGUUUUUACAAACUGAUAUAUCAUUAGUCACUAAAAAAUUGAAAUUUACCAUUGGUUGUAUCGAAACGGUUCUUUAGCAUUAGUUUGUUUUUGAACUACUUUAU